UGCUGCCACCGUGUACGUUUGAACUGGGCCUAGAUAGCUUUUGCGAAUAGAUGAUAUUUCAUACAUCCUCCUCGACACCUGAAAUCUGCUACACAUAUAAAAUGGGGAUGCUGUAUAUAAUAAUCAUGGCUUUCUUUAAUACAGCAACGUUUGCCCUUAACUUCUGCUCUCAACCAAACGAACAAUUGCACUACUGCUCUUCAAAGAACAAGGUGUAUGAUCGGCUGUGCCCGCAAGCACCCCGGAAGCACUGCGAGCAUGUUGGAGAGCAAAUGUGCCUCUGUAACGAAGGAUUCUAUCGGCUGAGGUUUUGGUACCCUUGCGUUAGAAAG
This is a long non-coding RNA of Dermacentor silvarum, 332 nucleotides long. RefSeq lists it as uncharacterized. The record is from RefSeq and is a predicted model, not a curated record. The transcript has 3 exons. Lineage: Eukaryota; Metazoa; Arthropoda; Arachnida; Ixodida; Ixodidae.